AACGAACGCUGGCGGCAGGCCUAACACAUGCAAGUCGAGCGCGCCUUCGGGUGAGCGGCGGACGGGUGAGUAACGCGUGGGAAUAUGCCCUUCUCUACGGAAUAGUCCUUGGAAACUGGGGGUAAUACCGUAUACGCCCUUUGGGGGAAAGAUUUAUCGGGGAAGGAUUAGCCCGCGUUGGAUUAGGUAGUUGGUGGGGUAAUGGCCUACCAAGCCGACGAUCCAUAGCUGGUUUGAGAGGAUGAUCAGCCACACUGGGACUGAGACACGGCCCAGACUCCUACGGGAGGCAGCAGUGGGGAAUCUUAGACAAUGGGGGCAACCCUGAUCUAGCCAUGCCGCGUGAGUGAUGAAGGCCUUAGGGUUGUAAAGCUCUUUCAGCUGGGAAGAUAAUGACGGUACCAGCAGAAGAAGCCCCGGCUAGCUCCGUG
RNAcentral lists this ribosomal RNA (431 nucleotides) under uncultured bacterium. RNAcentral's name for it is "partial 16S ribosomal RNA". It matches the Rfam family "Bacterial small subunit ribosomal RNA", at positions 29 to 507 of the family's 1533-position model. The record is from RNAcentral.